RNAcentral lists this ribosomal RNA (325 nucleotides) under uncultured eukaryote. RNAcentral describes it as "partial 18S ribosomal RNA". It matches the Rfam family "Eukaryotic small subunit ribosomal RNA", at positions 1470 to 1796 of the family's 1831-position model. The record is from RNAcentral.
CCCUUAGAUGUUCUGGGCCGCACGCGCGCUACACUGAUGCAUUCAACGAGCCUAUCCUUGACCGACAGGUCCGGGUAAUCUUGGAAUCUGCAUCGUGACGGGGAUAGAUUAUUGCAAUUAUUAAUCUUCAACGAGGAAUGCCUAGUAGGCGCAAGUCAUCAGCUUGCGUCGAUUACGUCCCUGCCCUUUGUACACACCGCCCGUCGCUCCUACCGAUUGGGUGUGCUGGUGAAAUGUUCGGAUCGGCCGUUUGUCGCGGUUUCCGCGUCAUGUGGCUGAGAAGUUCAUUAAACCCUCCCACCGAGAGGAAGGAGAAGUCGUAACA